Long non-coding RNA from Solanum pennellii, 5772 nucleotides. RefSeq lists it as uncharacterized. NCBI's taxonomy places the organism in Eukaryota, Viridiplantae, Streptophyta, Magnoliopsida, Solanales, Solanaceae. The transcript has 2 exons. The record is from RefSeq and is a predicted model, not a curated record.
UUCAUUCUUCUAUUCUCUUCUAAAUUCUCCCUGCGUAUCUUCAUUGUUAGGAUAUUACUUUAUUCAACUUCACAUGGUAUCAGAGCUUCAACAAGAGCAAAUCGUGGGGAUCUUCACCUGAACUUUAUUUGUUCUUCACUGCGUUUUUCUUUCACUAUGUUAUUUUCUUUAGAUUUCUAGCUCUUUUUCAUGCCAGAAUCAGUAUCAAUGGGGGACAAUGCUUCCGUGACUGUUGCUACUACCGUCGAUUAUGAUCAUCCUCUUUUUUUUGUAUCCAUCAGAUGCUCCUGGCUCUUUUUCAAUUGGAAUCAUGUUGACUGGCUCGGACAAUUAUACGCUGUGGAGCAGAGCUGUAAAGCUUGCUUUGCUAGGAAGAAACAACUUGGCCUUCAUUGGUGGUUCAGUAAAGAGAGCUCCAUUUUCAUGUGAUUUGGCCAAAUUGUGGGAUCGAUGCAAUGCCAUUGUGGUAUCUUGGCUCAUGAGCAAUGUAAGCAAGGAUCUCCUCAGUGGUGUUUACAUUCCAACUACACAAAGAGAUUUUCACUUUUGUUAAAGGGAAAAGGAGACCUAAUGCAGUGACUGGUUCCAUUUAUGGCAGUGUUCCUAUGCAGAUGUACACUAGGCCUGAUUACUCACAGUCUCAAUAUAUGCAACCAUAGCUAGGGAUGAUAACAUCACACAUGUAAACUACAAGUGCUUCAGGCAGUAGAGAUUCACAUGCUACUGGGCAGGGCAAUCUAAGUGGCAGUGCUCACAUGACAGGUAAUUUUUCUUCUUCUCAGCCAACCUCUGUUAAAUGGAAAUAGAUACAGGGGGACUCUAAUCACAUGAUAGGAUAUCAUACACACUUACUGGAUAAAGGACUGAUAGAAAAUGCAGGCUAGGGGAAUCAGCCAGAGUUUCACAUAUAGGAAAUUAUCAUCUAGGUGGAGGUGUUAUUCCAACAUGUUCUGUUUGUGCAGAUUUCAAGUUUAAUAUUAUGUCAUUUUCUCAAAUGACAAAGGACUUAAAUUGUUGUGCAACGUUUUAUCCACAUUGUUGUGUUAUACAUGACUCAUUUGGGAUGGUGAGGGAGAUUUGUAAAGAAGAGGAAGGGCUCUACACUAUGUUCUCGCAUGCUGGAAUUAGGGGGCAAACUUUAACAAAUGUUAUGCAGUAUACUAUGAGGCAGAUGCUAGUAUUUGGCAUCAAAGACUAUGUCAUGUUCCUAUGGAAGUUCUUAAAAGAUACCUAUGUUUCAAGAUCUUAGUAAUAAUAGCUCUUUUGCUUUGAAUUAUUGUGAGAUAUGUCCCCUUGCAAGGUAAACUAGAAUGCAUUUUCCACAUAGUUUGAGUAGGUCUACUACUAGCUUUCAGUUACUACAUGUUGAUGUAUGGGGACCAUAGAAAUGGGAAACAUAUGAUGGAAUUCUAACCAUUGUUAAUGAUCAUACAAUAUGGACUUGGUUUUUUUUAAUGAGACUUAAGUCUAAUGUAUUGAUGUUGUUAAAAAACUUCUUUGUUGAAAUAAAAACACAGUUUGGUGAAAAAGUUCAAAGGUGAGAUCUGAUAAUGGUGGAGAAUGCUUUAGCCACGCAUGCACAAAAUUGUUUCAAGAUUACGGUAUUGCACAUGAUAUUUCUUGUCCAUACACACCACAAAAAAAUGAUGUGGUGGAGAGAAGACACAUACAUAUCUUAGAAACAGCCAGGGCCAUUAAGUUUCAGAGUUGUUAUUUGUAGUUUUGAUGAUAUGACAAACUCAGGGACCUUGUAAAGGUAUCAGGUUCUCAACAUGAGUUUUGAUGAUGUCACAAACUCAGGGAGCUUGUAAAGGUACCAGGCUGCCAACAUGAAUAGUCUGUUGACUUCCAGCUGGAGAAGGUACAGAAAGUGGGUGCACAUUUUCCAACGGCAUUAGAAAAGUCAGACCUUUCCAACCAAUGGCAAGAGUUUAAGAAAAGGGACUUGUCUAUACAAUGUCACUUUCCUAAACAUCAUUCCUUAGUUUUUGCAACUUGAAAAAGUACUCUCAAGAACACUUGCAAAUGUUAUAGAAAAUUAACGUGAAGAAUUAUUCAACAACAACUGAAAACUCAGGAGCAUAUCGUGUAGUAUUUUGAGAAUAUAUUCUUUUGGUCUUACAUUGUAAACUAUUCCUAAAUCUAUAAAGGAAUCAGUGUGAUGGUGUCGAAAUUCUAAGUUGUCUAGAAGGGAUAACUUAGUGGGUAGAAUAACUUCUACUUAGGCUUAUCAAGCAAUAGAGUCAUUGCUUGAACGUGAGAUAAAAAACUUUUUCUCACAUUUGUGUAACUAGUUUUACGUUUGCUUGCAAAAAUUAGUGAAAUAGUUGUGAGAAUCCUGUAAGACAGGUCGUGGUUUUACUCCCUUAAGCAAGGAGGUUUACACAUAAAAUUGAUGUGUUGUUAAACUGCAUUUACUUUCUAUUCAUACUUGUUUGUGUGUCAAGGGACCUGGUCCAUUGUCUGAUAAGUGGACGCAUAUAUUCUAACAAGAGUGUCUUACCAAAUAAGUUUUGGGGUUUGUAUAUUGAGUCUAUUGUAUAUGUUCUCAAUAGGAUUCCUUCAACUAUAUUGAAUAGAAAAUCACCUUUUCAGAUGUUGUACCACAACCUUCCUUCUUCUGCAUUUAAGUGUCAUUGGUUGCUUGUGUUUGCCACUAACCUUACUCAGAAGGAUAAGUUCAAUCCUAGAGUUGUGAAAGUUGUAUUACUUGAAAGGGGUAUAAGUUGUAUGAUCUUGAAACCAGAUUCUUGUUUGUUAGCAGAGAUGUACUGUUCAUGGAAAAUUCAUUUCCUUUUCAAAAACAAAAAUAGAUCCACAACAUACCACUCACUUCUCCUAUGAUGACUUAAUUCAUCAUUAACACAUUCUAGUGAAUGAUUUAUUCAGUUUCCUAGUGAAGUGGUUCCGCAGCAAUAGGUGUUGGAAAUAUAGAAAUUGAGCCCCCAUCUGAAAUUGUGCCAUACAAUGUAGAACUUGAGCCUCCAUCUGAAGUUGUGCCAGAUAAUUUACCUGCAGGUGAGAGUAGUAGGUCAUCCAAAGGUACAAAACCUCCUAUCUGGAACAAGGAGUAUGUGCUAAGGCUGGCUCUGACACCAUAACCUAUAAUGGUUUAUCCACAAACUAUCAAAGAUUUAUAGCUAAGUUCUUCAUAGAUACUGAACCUGACAACUAUUCAGAAGUUUCUAGUAAUGAUAGAUGGAUACUUUCCAUGAAGAAUGAAAUACAAGCUUUGGAGGACAACAAGACCUGAGAGAUUAUCACACUUCCUCAGGGCAAAUAGGUUGUAGGUUGUAGAUGGGUGUACAAAAUCAAAUAUAAAGCAGAUGGUGAAGUAGAAAGGUUUAAGGCCAGACUUGUAGCAAAGGGUUAUAGUCAAAAGGAAGGAUUGGAUUAUCAGGAAACCUUUUUCCUUGUGGUCACGAUGGGCAUUGUCAGGGCUGUUACUUAGGCUGCAACCAAGGGGUGGAAAUUAUAUUAAAUGGAUGUGCAUAAUGCAUUCCUACAAGGAGAUCUAUAUGAAGAAGAAGUAUGUAUGACCAUUCCAUAAGUUUUUUCAAGACAAAAGAGGACUGAUGCAAAAGUGCAGGCUAAAAAUCCUUGUAUGGGCUCAAGCAAGCCUCUAGACUAUGGAACAUAAAACUCACCAAUGCCUUAACUUCACUGGUUUUAACCAAAGCACAAGGGACUACUCUUUGUUCACUAAGAUGGAUGGUGACAAGAUUGUACUAGUUAUGGUCUAUGUGGAUGACUUCUUACUUACAGGAAAUGAUCACUCUAUAAUUCAACACACCAAAGAAACACUACACACAACUUUUAAGAUCAAGGACUUGGGAGAACUUAGGUACUUCUUGCGUAUUGAGUUUACAAGAAGUAAUGAGGGGAUAUUGAUGCAUCAAGAAAAUAUUCUCUAGAGUUAAUAGCCGACAUGGGACUUGCUGGUGCCAAAACUAUCACAACUCCUAUGGAUCAGAAUAAAAAACUCACUACAGUUGAGUUUGAUCAACAUGUGUCGUCAAAUUCUGAGGACUUGGUGCUAAAGUAUCCUAUUGGAUAUCAAAAACUUAUCGGGAGGCUUCUAUAUCUCACUAAUACCAGACCAAACAUUGCUUUUGUUGUACAGAGUUUGAGUCAAUUUAUGCAUUCCCCCAAAAAGUGUCAUAUGGAAGCAACCAUGAGACUAGUUAGGUAUGCAAAACAGGGUUGGGAAUAAUGAUGUCUGCCACUGUGAUGAUCUUCUGAAGUUGUAUUCUGAUGCUGAUUGGGGUGCUUAUAUUAAUAGCAGAAGUUCUAUUUCUGCUUAUCUAAUACACUAUGGCAAUUCUCCUAUUUCUUGGAAGUCUAAGAAGCAGGCCAGUCUCUAGGAGUUCGGUAUAGGUAGAAUACAGGGUCAUGUCAUCUUCAGUUGCAGAGGUAAUUUGGAUGACAGGAUUGUUCAAGGAGCUUGGAGUAAAUGUCAAACUUCCUGUCACUUUGUUUUUUCUGACAGCAAAUCAGCCUUGCAAAUAACUGCUAACCCUGUUUUUCAUGACGAACUAAGCACAUAGAUAUAGAUUGUCAUUUUACUAGAGAAAAAUUCAAGAAGGUCUGAUUGUCACUGCCUAUUUGUAUUCAUCUGAGCAGCCUGCAGACUUGUUCACUAACGGUCUUGGGAGAGCCUCACAUACUUAUUUGAUGUCCAAGCUGGGAAUGAAGAAUGUCUUCAUAGCUCCAAGCUUGAGAGGGAGUGUAAAGGAGAUUGGAAAAUGCAUCAAUGUGCCUUAGUCUACACAUUACCUAGUUUGUUAGAAGCUAGUUAAUGGUAAUUACAAAUUAAGCUAAUUAGUCAAAAUUAGUUUGUCAUAAAGUUAGUUAGGAAUGAGUGUAAAGCAUGUGUUGUUAGCUGCGGGCAUAAAAGGACAACUCAUUGUAUUCAGUUAAAUCAAUCAAUGAAAAUACUUCUCUCUGCGUAUCUUCAUUGUUAGGAUGUUAAUUCAUCAAACUUCACACAUCAGCAAAAGCAGCGUAAAAAAAUUCAUAGAAAUUCAAAUUUCUUAUCCCAACUUUACUACCCUCCUGAAUUCUACCUCUAUAUAAACCCCCUUCUCUCAUCAUUCUAAGGGGUUAAAAAAUUGAAAUUAGGAACCUUUGUUAGUCGAAUUUCUUGUGUGGUAGUGGAAAGUUCUUGCUCAUCUCGUAGUCUCGUAUUGCAGAGGCAUAUUUUCUUUACUUUUUCACCUUUUUCUAUUUAAUUUGAACGAUAUGAGUUGUUGUAUGUAAAAUGGUGAAUCUCAAAAUGGUCGAAUGUUGGUUUGAUUGUGAUCUUGAGUGCACUGGUUGUAGAGUUUAUUUCUUCAUUGUUUGUUACUAGUCUUGGAUGCUUUUGAUUCAUAGUUAUAGAUUCUCUUCUAUGUUAGCGUAAUCUUGUAGGGUGAUUUCUGUUCUCGCAUAUCUUGAAUGCUAGGAGUUAGGAGUUGCAUUUGAGGAGAGCCCGUGAGAUUGAGUUUGUUAGGGCAUCGAGUUCGAGGAUCACUACAGAUGGUGUUCCUGCUGUUGAUGAGGGAAUUACUGAUGAUGUCCCUGUUGCUGAUCCGACGGGUUUCAAGAAAUUGGACCACCCACCUCUUGAUGGAUCUAAAGUCUUCAAUUUUACAAAAAAGAUUAUCAAAUUAAAGUUAGGAUUUUAUUCAAUCUUCAAGGGUUCUUUUCAACUAUGAUCCAAUCAAUUGUUUACUAUAUUUCUAUUCAUAAAUGAAGUAAUUAUAUGUUUUUUUAAAAGUUGAAUUCGCAUGA